GAAAAAUUAGUUAAUAUAUAAUAUUAAUUUGUCAAAUUAAAGUCACUAGAGUAUUUUUCU
Molecule: transfer RNA, 60 nt
Filed under: Metacrangonyx sp. 2 MDMBR-2012
Lineage: Eukaryota; Metazoa; Arthropoda; Malacostraca; Amphipoda; Metacrangonyctidae
Description: tRNA-Asp
Source: RNAcentral